This 851-nucleotide long non-coding RNA is filed under the name Sus scrofa (pig). Its description in RNAcentral is "lncRNA (ENSSSCG00035003310.1)". The record is from RNAcentral. Lineage: Eukaryota; Metazoa; Chordata; Mammalia; Artiodactyla; Suidae.
CUGCAUCCCCAGUGUCCUGCUGUGCCGAGGAGGAGACCAGGCUGCGUUCAGGCAACGUCCUUGUGGACCCUGCCCUUGACCCCCACCUCCUACGUCUCAGGGUCAGUUUGAGCCCUUCAGAGAGCGGAUGGAGUCCUUCAGGUUCAUCUCAGUGGGGCAGAGGAAGAGAAUUCUGAGGUGUCUAGAAGUCUGAAAGCAGUGGCUUUGCCUGUGGCCUUGGGCAGGAGAAAGAGUGAGCAGUGAUGGCUAAGGGACUUGCCCAGAUCACUUAGUUGUGAAGAAGAGCAACUACCCUGGUAGUUGCCUGUUUGAAGGCCUCGGACUCACAGAGGCAAAGGUGGGAAGAGACACCAUUCAUCCCCCUCUCUCUUAGCUUUUGUCUGCAGGCCAUCUGACCAGUUUCACACAGACUGCUACUCCCGUUCUCAGCUUGAUCAAUGGCCACUGAAGAAUUUGAAUAAGCCCUGCAGGCAAGGCUCUGACUGCAGCUGACCUGCAUCUUGGUAGAAGGUCUUGAGGUCCUCCUUGGAGUCCAGCGGAGCCCAGACUGGGGUGCCAUGAACCCUUGUCCUGGCCACCACCAGCUUCAGUGUGGGAUCCCCUAAGAACUGCCAGCUCUUCUCAGAUGAAUCUAUGGCUCGAGGGGGGACAUGCAGUCUGAGGACCUGGAAGGGGACAGUCUAUGGGAUUCAGGGAGGAAGAAAAAGGGAACUUCAGUCUGAAAUGUGAGUAAAUGCAAAGGCCCAGAGGCAAGAAACACAGGGAGGAUUUCAGCGGUACCAGGCACCCAGUAACCACGUGUGCUGCUAAUUAUUUGCUACUGUAAUCACCUCCUUUUCCUCCUUUGACUU